This 381-nucleotide ribosomal RNA is filed under the name uncultured bacterium. Its description in RNAcentral is "bacterial SSU rRNA". It matches the Rfam family "Bacterial small subunit ribosomal RNA", at positions 28 to 412 of the family's 1533-position model. The record is from RNAcentral.
GAUGAACGCUGGCGGCGUGCCUAAUACAUGCAAGUCGAGCGAACAGAUAAGGAGCUUGCUCCUUUGACGUUAGCGGCGGACGGGUGAGUAACACGUGGGUAACCUACCUAUAAGACUGGGAUAACUUCGGGAAACCGGAGCUAAUACCGGAUAACAUUUGGAACCGCAUGGUUCUAAAGUGAAAGAUGGUUUUGCUAUCACUUAUAGAUGGACCCGCGCCGUAUUAGCUAGUGUAGUACGCUACAGGCACGAUACGUAGCGACUGAGAGGUGAUCGGCCACACUGGAACUGAGACACGGUCCAGACUCCUACGGGAGGCAGCAGUAGGGAAUCUUCCGCAAUGGGCAAAGCCUGACGGAGCAACGCCGCGUGAGUGAUGAA